This 250-nucleotide ribosomal RNA is filed under the name uncultured bacterium. RNAcentral's name for it is "partial 16S ribosomal RNA". It matches the Rfam family "Bacterial small subunit ribosomal RNA", at positions 524 to 773 of the family's 1533-position model. The record is from RNAcentral.
UACGGAGGGGGCCAGCGUUGCUCGGAAUCACUGGGCGUAAAGGGCUCGUAGGCGGUCUGAUAAGUCCUGUGUGAAAUCCCUUGGCUUAACCAAGGAACUGCGCCGGAUACUGUCGGACUUGAGGCCGGGAGAGGGAAGUGGAAUUCCCAGUGUAGCGGUGAAAUGCGUAGAUAUUGGGAGGAACACCGGUGGCGAAGGCGGCUUCCUGGACCGGUUCUGACGCUGAUGAGCGAAAGCUAGGGUAGCAAAC